Mustela erminea (ermine) is the source of this 1637-nucleotide long non-coding RNA. RefSeq lists it as uncharacterized. The record is from RefSeq and is a predicted model, not a curated record. NCBI's taxonomy places the organism in Eukaryota, Metazoa, Chordata, Mammalia, Carnivora, Mustelidae. The transcript has 3 exons.
AAAAAAUCUUAAAAAAAAUAAAAGUUUUGCAGAAGGCUAUUGGGAUGUUAGAAUAGAAUCUAUGAUGUUACAAAUGGAAAGUCCACAAAGAGACAAGUGGUCUCUAAACCAAACAGGACAUGCUAUUCUCCCCAAAUUCCUACAGUGAAGAAUUAUCCCAAUGGGAUGAUAUUAGGAAGUGGGCUCUGGGCGGUAGUUAUGUCACUAGGUACAGCCAUCAUGAAUGGGGUUAGCAUACUUAUCAAAGAGAUCCCAGAGAGCUCUCUCAACCCUUUCAGCCCUAUGAGGACAAAGUGAGAAGACAGGUGUCCCUGAACCAGGAAGCAGGCUGUCACCAGACUCUGAAUCUGCUGAUGCUUUGAUUUGGGACUUACCAGCCUCCAGAACUGUGAGAAAUCAAUUUAUGUUGUUUACAAGCUACCCAGUGAAUGAUAUUGGGUUAUAAUAGCCUGCAUGGACCAAGACAGCAUAUUUGUUUAUUUCUACAUUGAGAAGCUAGGUUAUCUUUGGGAGUGCAACGAAUGAAGUGUUUAUUUGAUUCAGCUUAUCUUCCCAGGACUACUAGACCACUAAAUAAAGGGAUAUGAAAAGUAUUUUUUCAUCACGAAAUGUACAUACAGGAUUAUAGAAACUAUGAUGUCUGGGAAGGAACUUUCAUGGCAAAAUUUUGAAGUUGACAUGGGUGGUCUUUACAUCCUCCUCCAGACAUCAUCGUGUAUUUCUCCUGUCUCAUAAUUCAAAGACCAUUCACUGAGACAUUCCUGUGCUCAUGCACUACAUUAAGCAAUGACAAUACAGACAUAAGAACACCUAUUUCCUUUCUCUCAGUUGAAUUUUAGUGUCACGCUGGAAAUGUGGACAUAAGUGUCACUAAAAUCCAAUGUAACUCAAGAUACAACUGUGGUCCAACUGGCCCUUUAACUACCUUUUCUAGGAUAUUAGUGCCGAGUAUCUGGAUGAAUUGCACUCUUUAGUGUGACAAGAUGGGAAGAAAGCAUUCAGGAAGAAUGAACAGCUUGAGCAAAUGUAAGAAAGCAUGAAAACACUUGAUUCACUGAUGAGGAUGAGGAUGAAGAGCUAUAAGUAGUUUAAACUGAGCUGAAAUCUACAAUGCAAGGAAAGAAGAAAGAAGACAAUGUUAGAGCCAGACACAGGCAGGCCCCAGAUCACAGAAAAUCAGUUUGCUCAUAAUGGAUUCAACAAGUGUUUACUGGUCAUCCGGUCUGCACAAAGUGAUGUUCCGUAGGAUAUGGCCGAUGAUCAAGUCAGGCAAGUCAACAGGUCUUUCAGAAACUUUUUCUGAUUCAAUCAAUGAAGAGAGCGUCUACCUUAGAAGCUUCUAGAAAGAUAAAUGAAGAUAAAUUAAAAGCACCCAAAACAUAGGAGAUGAUGAAUACAUGGCUGAGGACAUGAGGGUCUGCUGGUUGUUCCGCCAUACUGAGCAGUGAUUCUGCUCCUUAACUGCAACUGUCUGCCUUGAAUAUAAGUACCAGUAAGUGCAAAUACCCGCCAACUCAAGAUUUCUCCUGCCAAAGAGAAGAACUGAAAUUCAGUCAGUCAUAAUAAGGUUUUAUUUUUUCCAUUAAAACUAUAUAUAGGUUGUUAGAACUAAAAGAAACCUUGGAGAAAAGUUAGUU